This 628-nucleotide ribosomal RNA is filed under the name uncultured archaeon. RNAcentral describes it as "bacterial SSU rRNA". It matches the Rfam family "Archaeal small subunit ribosomal RNA", at positions 147 to 776 of the family's 1478-position model. The record is from RNAcentral.
UAAUACUGGAUAGGCAAUUUUUCCUGUAAUGGUUUUUGUUUAAAUGUUUUUUCGCCUAAGGAUGGGUCUGCGGCCGAUUAGGUAGUUGGUUAGGUAAUGGCUUACCAAGCCUUUGAUCGGUACGGGUUGUGAGAGCAAGAGCCCGGAGAUGGAACCUGAGACAAGGUUCCAGGCCCUACGGGGUGCAGCAGGCGCGAAACCUCCGCAAUGUGAGAAAUCGCGACGGGGGGAUCCCAAGUGCCAUUCUUAACGGGAUGGCUUUUCAUUAGUGUAAAGAGCUUUUGGAAUAAGAGCUGGGCAAGACCGGUGCCAGCCGCCGCGGUAACACCGGCAGCUCUAGUGGUAGCAAUUUUUAUUGGGCCUAAAGCGUCCGUAGCCGGUUUAAUAAGUCUCUGGUGAAAUCCUGUAGCUUAACUGUGGGAAUUGCUGGAGAUACUAUUAGACUUGAGACCGGGAGAGGUUAGAGGUACUCCCAGGGUAGAGGUGAAAUUCUGUAAUCCUGGGAGGACCGCCUGUUGCGAAGGCGUCUAACUGGAGCGGUUCUGAUGGUGAGGGACGAAAGUUAGGGGCGCGAACCGGAUUAGAUACCCGGGUAGUCCUAACUGUAAACGAUGCGGACUUGGUGUUG